RNAcentral lists this ribosomal RNA (504 nucleotides) under uncultured bacterium. Its description in RNAcentral is "bacterial SSU rRNA". It matches the Rfam family "Bacterial small subunit ribosomal RNA", at positions 355 to 873 of the family's 1533-position model. The record is from RNAcentral.
UAGGGAAUCGUCGGCAAUGGGCGAAAGUCUGACCGCGCGACGCCGCGUGGAGGAAGAAGGCCUUCGGGUUGUAAACUUCUUUUAUGGGGGAUGAUUAUGACAGUACCCCACGAAUAAGGGCCUGCUAACUACGUGCCAGCAGCAGCGGUAAUACGUAGGGCCCGAGCAUUAUCCGGAAUUAUUGGGCGUAAAGAGCGUGUAGGUGGCUCUACAAGUCGGUCGUUAAAUCUCACUGCUCAACAGUGAGGCCGCGAGCGAUACUGUAGGGCUUCGAGGUUUGCAGGGGUGAGCAGAAUUUCCAGAGUAGGGGUGAAAUCCGUUGAUACUGGAAGGAAUACCAAUGGCGAAGGCAGCUCACUGGGCAACACCUGACACUGAGACGCGAAAGCGUGGGGAGCGAACGGGAUUAGAUACCCCGGUAGUCCACGCCGUAAACUCUGUCAACUAGCAAUUAGAAGAGUCGACCCUUGUAGUUGCGAAGCUAACGCGUCAAGUUGACCGCCG